RNAcentral lists this unclassified non-coding RNA (220 nucleotides) under plant metagenome. Its description in RNAcentral is "partial contains small subunit ribosomal RNA, internal transcribed spacer 1, and 5.8S ribosomal RNA". The record is from RNAcentral.
UUUCCGUAGGUGAACCUGCGGAAGGAUCAUUACAGAGUUCAUGCCCUCACGGGUAGAUCUCCCACCCUUGAAUAUUUAUACCUUAGUUGCUUUGGCAGGCCGUGGAAACACCAUGGGCUCCGGCUUAUGCGUGCCUGCCAGAGGAAACAAACUCUGCUUUUAGUGAUGUCUGAGCACUAUAUAAUAGUUAAAACUUUCAACAACGGAUCUCUUGGUUCUG